Molecule: long non-coding RNA, 479 nt
Organism: Sorex araneus (European shrew)
Lineage: Eukaryota; Metazoa; Chordata; Mammalia; Eulipotyphla; Soricidae
Exons: 3
Source: RefSeq, a predicted model, not a curated record
CUGGGAGAUGCCCCUGACGUUAAAACAAAACUUGGAGCUAGAGAUGGAAUCUGGGCACGGAAAAGGGGCGCGUCCCCACACUGCCUGCAGAGCCGCACCCAUGGUGUCCAGAAGCUGCUCGGGAUCAUGAGGGCUCCGGGAUCGAACCUGGGGUAACUAUGUGCCAAGGAAGUGCCCUGCCCACUGCACUAUCGCUUGGGCCCCCUCGGAGCUCCAACUCUAAGACACCCCGCCUGUGCCACCAUAGGCUGAGUGGAGGAGAAAUUGAGUCAAAGAAGGAGAAGGCCAAUGCAGAUGAAGAUGGAGACCGGAAGCAGCUCCAAGCCAAGGAGGGCUGAAGGUGCUCGCACUGUGCCAGGAGUCUGCGCCAGCAGCUCUGCCCGCACCCUGACCCUGCCCUUGUCCCCGAGAGCGGUGAGUGCCCACAUUCCUCCCGUGCCACGCCACUUCAUAUAUGGCUGCGAUGGCAGGAAACUGCC